RNAcentral lists this ribosomal RNA (254 nucleotides) under uncultured bacterium. Its description in RNAcentral is "partial 16S ribosomal RNA". It matches the Rfam family "Bacterial small subunit ribosomal RNA", at positions 524 to 776 of the family's 1533-position model. The record is from RNAcentral.
UACGUAGGGUGCAAGCGUUGUCCGGAAUUAUUGGGCGUAAAGAGCUCGUAGGCGGUUUGUUGCGUCGGCUGUGAAAUCCCGAGGCUCAACCUCGGGUCUGCAGUCGAUACGAGCAAACUAGAGUGUUGCAGGGGAGACUGGAAUUCCUGGUGUAGCGGUGAAAUGCGCAGAUAUCAGGAGGAACACCGGUGGCGGAAGGCGGGUCUCUGGGCAACAACUGACGCUGGAGGAGCGAAAGCGUGGGAGCGAACAGG